GGACUACUGGGGUAUCUAAUCCCGUUUGCUCCCCUAGCUUUCGCGUCUCAGCGUCAGUAGACGUCCAGGACCUCGCUUUCGCCACGGGCGUUCCUUCCGAUCUCAACGCAUUUCACCGCUCCACCGGAAGUUCCAGGUCCCCCUACGUCCCUCCAGACGGGUCGUUUCGGCACCACUUCCCCGGUUGAGCCGGGGGCUUUCAACUACCGACGUUCCCAUCCGCCUACACGCGCUUUAAGCCCAGUGAUUCCGAAUAACGUUCGCACGGUUCGUCUUACCGCGGCUGCUGGCAC
Molecule: ribosomal RNA, 293 nt
Filed under: uncultured bacterium
Lineage: Bacteria
Also listed under: 2 other names
Description: partial 16S ribosomal RNA
Source: RNAcentral